UUAGGGGUGUGCAAAUAAUAAGGUUAACCAUACCCAAAUUACUAACCAAACCAUUUCCUUUUUUUAAAAGCCCAGCCCAUUUUAUAAAAAAACCAACCCAGACCAUAAAACAUAAAAAUGGUAAACCGGUUUACCAUUUCACUUAGUUGGUUUAGAACCGGUUUAUUCUUCUCAAAAUUAAUUUCAAAAGCGAGAAACCAAAUAACACAGUCAGAAACCAAAUCACAAAAUCACAGUUUCAUCAAUCAUCGCAAAUCCUCCUCCUCCGUCAAACCCACUCCCACCGGCGAAUCCUCCUCCGUCAAACCCACUCCCACCGGCGAAUCCAUCUCGUCCUCCGUCGCACAACCACUCACCAUCGACGACAAUCCAAUCAGCUUAAAUCGCAAAAUCAGCUUAAUCGAGGAAGAAGGGGAUUUAGAUGUCCUAAUUUGGUGGAAGGAUAAUUGUACUCGAUAUCCAGUCCUUGCAAGAAUUGCAAGAGAAGUGUUGGCUAUACCAGUCUCUACGGUUGCCUCUGAAUCUGCCUUUAGUACCGGAGGGAGAGUGCUUGAUGCAUAUAGGAGUUCACUGUCAGCAAUAACAGUGGAACCAUUGAUUUGCACACAAGAUUGGGUUAAAAAAAAAGAUCAUGGCAUUGAGACAUCAUCUUUGGUUUCAUAUGAUGAUCUUAACACUCUACAGCAACUUGAGCAAGGUAAGAUUAAAAGAUAUCUUCUUUUUACUUACUAUAGUAAAUCUAUCUUUGAUUCUUUGUUUUAGCUGUUUUCUUGUAGCUGGUGCGGGUGUUGACUAGCCCUCGUGCUUGGUUGGCUAGAAGUAAUUGAUCAAUCUUGCUGGUGGGGUUUUUUUAUUUUGGCUUCAUCCUCUUGCGCCUCAAGUUUGCGUUGGAUGGUGUUCUCUCCAGCUUAGCCAGAAGCAUUUGGGUUGCUUUGUUUGGUUUUUUAACUUUGGUUUAGUUACUUUGUUUGACUGUUUCUUCAUUUUAGUUUGUCAAUUAGUUUUCUCUAGUUUGUAAUUUUUCUUCACUUCUUGCUGCGUGGUGGUGUUGUCUGAGUUAAUUCUUAGCUUGCGAAGUUAGCCAUGAUCUUGUAGAUGUAUAUGUCAGGAGCAAAUAUACAUCUAAGAGGCAUCCUAUAUUGACAAGUUGCACAUGAGGCAUAGUAAUAAUGAAUUCCUUUUUGUGUUUUGCAGAUUUUUUAUCAAAUCUUGGUAGUUCUUCGGCUUCUACGAGGCUCGAUGACGAUUGAAGGUGCUUGGGUUGGAAGUAUGAAAGAGCCUAUGAAGAAACUGAGAAAUGCAAAGAAGGAUAUUAAAUUGCUUGGAUCUCAUUAUUGUUUGAUAUAACAUGUGUAAUGACUAAUGAGUUACAACUUAGGUAUUUGAGAGUUUGAGCUCUUUGUGGUUGGAUCUCAUUAUUAUUUGAUUUGAUAUUAGAACAUGCAGAGUUUGUUCUCAGUUGAAUUGUACUGGCAUUUGUCUUUGGAAGUGAUGAAAUUGUGAACAAGUACUUCUUCUUUGUUAAAUUUCACAUCAUUCUUCUUACUUCUUCUUUA
Trifolium pratense (red clover) is the source of this 1556-nucleotide RNA transcript. It is a transcript of the gene named zinc finger BED domain-containing protein RICESLEEPER 3-like, with no coding region annotated. The transcript has 3 exons. The record is from RefSeq and is a predicted model, not a curated record. NCBI's taxonomy places the organism in Eukaryota, Viridiplantae, Streptophyta, Magnoliopsida, Fabales, Fabaceae.